GGAUAUAGCUCAGCUGGCAGAGUGCCUGCCUGGCAUGCACUAACCCUGGGUUCAAUCCCCAGCACCA
RNAcentral lists this transfer RNA (67 nucleotides) under Marmota monax (woodchuck). RNAcentral's name for it is "tRNA.Ala". The record is from RNAcentral. Lineage: Eukaryota; Metazoa; Chordata; Mammalia; Rodentia; Sciuridae.